CCUACGGGAGGCAGCAGUGAGGAAUAUUGGUCAAUGGGCGGAAGCCUGAACCAGCCAAGUCGCGUGCAGGAUGACGGCCCUAUGUGUUGUAAACUGCUUUAGCUGUGGAGAAAUAAGGUGGUCGAGACCACCGAUGCAUGUACCCUAUGAAUAAGGACCGGCUAAUUCCGUGCCAGCAGCCGCGGUAAU
This 189-nucleotide ribosomal RNA is filed under the name uncultured bacterium. RNAcentral describes it as "partial 16S ribosomal RNA". It matches the Rfam family "Bacterial small subunit ribosomal RNA", at positions 338 to 524 of the family's 1533-position model. The record is from RNAcentral.